AAUGAACGCUGGCGGUAGGCCUAACACAUGCAAGUCGAACGGCAGCACAGUAAGAGCUUGCUCUUACGGGUGGCGAGUGGCGGACGGGUGAGGAAUACAUCGGAAUCUACUUUUUCGUGGGGGAUAACGUAGGGAAACUUACGCUAAUACCGCAUACGACCUACGGGUGAAAGCAGGGGAUCUUCGGACCUUGCGCGAUUGAAUGAGCCGAUGUCGGAUUAGCUAGUUGGCGGGGUAAAGGCCCACCAAGGCGACGAUCCGUAGCUGGUCUGAGAGGAUGAUCAGCCACACUGGAACUGAGACACGGUCCAGACUCCUACGGGACGCAGCAGUGGGGAAUAUUGGACAAUGGUCGCAAGCCUAAUCCAGCCAUACCGCGUGGGUGAAGAAGGCCUUCGGGUUGUAAAGCCCUUUUGUUGGGAAAGAAAAGCAGCAGGUUAAUACCCCGCUGUUCUGACGGUACCCAAAGAAUAAGCACCGGCUAACUUCGUG
RNAcentral lists this ribosomal RNA (492 nucleotides) under uncultured bacterium. Its description in RNAcentral is "partial 16S ribosomal RNA". It matches the Rfam family "Bacterial small subunit ribosomal RNA", at positions 29 to 507 of the family's 1533-position model. The record is from RNAcentral.